RNAcentral lists this long non-coding RNA (1282 nucleotides) under Monodelphis domestica (gray short-tailed opossum). Its description in RNAcentral is "lncRNA (ENSMODG00000048628.1)". The record is from RNAcentral. Lineage: Eukaryota; Metazoa; Chordata; Mammalia; Didelphimorphia; Didelphidae.
UGUCCAGUGAGAAACAAUGUUUAAGGGAAAGAGAGAGUAGCAUGUUGGCAUCUUGAAAUGCAGAUCCAGGGUUUUGUAGCCAAUUCUGCACUGGUACCUAGGCAGCCAAUAGGGACCUUUGGUUCUUAGUCUAAGAUAUUUGAGAUGAGGACUCAUCCUUCUCAUCUUGCUUCUACAAGAACUUUGGACUCUGCUUCUAGUACAGCCAUUUUGCACCAGUUUUUGGAAGGAUCAUGGAACACAGUAAGAGGAGAACAACCCUGUUCUACAAGGAUCAUUUGAAGGAAUUGGGCCCAGGAAGGGAGGAAUAAUAACAUAUGGGGGACAUGAGAACCAUCUUAUAAAAAUUGAAGAUUUGUUUUGAGGAAAAAAAAUUUGACUCCUUUUUCCUAUAGGCAGAAUUUGGAGAAGUAGAGAAGCAGAUUUUAUCUUCAUAUAAGUUAGAGUUUCUGAACAAUUAUGGAAACUUAAAUUUGUGUCCUUGCAUUGAAAAUGUUUUUCUUUUCUUGUAUUAUUUAACUUUUUGCUUAUUUAUAUAUCCUUUCUUCCAUUACACUGAGAGUCUUAAGGGCAAAGACUUCACUGUAUACUUUUCUGUAUACUCCAUUGCUUAGCACAGGGUUCCAUAAAUGUUUAUUGAUUUGAAAAAAAUAAUUGAGCUGACCAAAAUUAAAUGGACUUUUAAGAGUUUAUGGUUUUUCCAUCACUUGAAGGCCUUCUAGUGAAACAUAAAUAACCACUCUUUGGGGAAAUUGUAAAGGGGAAUAUGGUUCAGAAAUGAAUUGGACUAGAUUAAGCUGCUAAAUUCCCUUCUCACUAAGAUUUUACAAAACAUUUGUUGCAUAAAUAGUUAUAUGGGGUAGGCAGGUGGUGCAGAGGAUAGAAUGCCAGGCCUCAAACAGGAAGACCUGAGUUCAAAUAUGGCCUCAAAUACUUAUUAGCUGUACAACCCUGGGCAAAUCACUUAAUCCUUUUUGUCUCAAUUUCCACAUCUGUAAAAGGAGAAGCUAAUGGCAAACCACUCUAAUAUCUUUGCCAAGAAAACUUCAAACGGAGUCACAAAGAGUUGAACAAAGCAGGACUCAACAACAACAAACAAUUUAUGUACUAUAUGUAGAGCACUUUCCUAGAUGUUCUAGAGAAUACAAAAUAUGUGUCCAAACUCCUCAUCGCAAGGAUUUUAUAAUCUAUUAGACUUGGAGUUAGAAGGACCAAUGGACACCAUUUAAUCUAAUCUUUCAUUUUAUAGCUGAAGAACCUGGAACCCAGAGAGGUGAUUUGC